This 73-nucleotide transfer RNA is filed under the name Ovis aries (sheep). It matches the Rfam family "tRNA". From Rfam's summary of the family: Transfer RNA (tRNA) molecules are approximately 80 nucleotides in length. Their secondary structure includes four short double-helical elements and three loops (D, anti-codon, and T loops). The record is from Rfam by way of RNAcentral. Lineage: Eukaryota; Metazoa; Chordata; Mammalia; Artiodactyla; Bovidae.
UCCUUGAUGGUCCAGUGGUUAAGGCUCUGCACUUCCAAUGCAGAGAAGGCACGUUGGAUGCCUGGUCAGGGAA